UGGGGAAUCUUCCGCAAUGGACGAAAGUCUGACGGAGCAACGCCGCGUGAGUGAUGACGGCCUUCGGGUUGUAAAGCUCUGUUAAUCGGGACGAAUGGUUCUUGUGCGAAUAGUGCGAGGAUUUGACGGUACCGGAAUAGAAAGCCACGGCUAACUACGUGCCAGCAGCCGCGGUAAUACGUAGGUGGCAAGCGUUGUCCGGAAGUAUUGGGCGUAAAGCGCGCGCAGGCGGAUUGGUCAGUCUGUCUUAAAAGUUCGGGGCUUAACCCCGUGAUGAGAUGGAAACUGCCAAUCUAGAGUAUCGGAGAGGAAAGUGGAAUGCCUAGUGUAGCGGUGAAAUGCGUAGAUAUUAUGAAGAACACCAGUGGCGAAGGCGACUUUCUGGACGAAAACUGACGCUGAGGCGCGAAAGCCAGGGGAGCGAACGGG
Molecule: ribosomal RNA, 429 nt
Filed under: bacterium
Lineage: Bacteria
Description: partial 16S ribosomal RNA
Rfam family: Bacterial small subunit ribosomal RNA
Source: RNAcentral